Molecule: ribosomal RNA, 552 nt
Filed under: Ursus thibetanus (Asiatic black bear)
Lineage: Eukaryota; Metazoa; Chordata; Mammalia; Carnivora; Ursidae
Description: partial large subunit ribosomal RNA
Rfam family: Bacterial large subunit ribosomal RNA
Source: RNAcentral
CACCUCCAGCAUUCCCAGUAUUGGAGGCACUGCCUGCCCGGUGACAUUAGUUAAACGGCCGCGGUAUUCUGACCGUGCAAAGGUAGCAUAAUCAUUUGUUCUCUAAAUAAGGACUUGUAUGAAAGGCCACACGAGGGUUUAACUGUCUCUUACUUCCAAUCAGUGAAAUUGACCUUCCCGUGAAGAGGCGGGAAUAAAACAAUAAGACGAGAAGACCCUAUGGAGCUUUAAUUAACUAGCUCAAAAGAAUCUAUCUACCAGACCGACAGGAACAACAUACUCCUUCCAUGAGCUAACAAUUUAGGUUGGGGCGACCUCGGAGCAUAAAACAACCUCCGAGUGAUAUUAAUCUAGACGUACCAGUCAAAAUGCUCACUUACUUAUUGAUCCAAAAACCUCUUUGAUCAACGGAACAAGUUACCCUAGGGAUAACAGCGCAAUCCUAUUUAAGAGUCCAUAUCGACAAUAGGGUUUACGACCUCGAUGUUGGAUCAGGACAUCCUAAUGGUGCAGCAGCUAUUAAGGGUUCGUUUGUUCAACGAUUAAAGUCCU